UUCUGGGGUGUCGAGCGGCGGAGGGGUGAGAAACGCGUGGGAAUGCCCCUUAAGGGGGGGGACAACGGGUGAAAACGACUGCUAAUACCGCAUAAUGUCUACAGCCCAAAGGGGGGGACCUUCGGGCCUCUCAGUUUCAGAUUAUUUUUGGUGUUUUUAGCUAGUUGGUGGGGUAAUGGCUCCCCAAGGCCACUAUCCCUAGCUGGUCUGAGAGGAUGCUCAGCCACCCUGAGACUGAGACGCCGCCCACACUCCUCCGGGGUGCAGCAGUGGGGAAUUUUGCACAGUGGGCGAAAGUCUGAUGCCGCCAUGCCGCGUGUGGGAAGAGGGCUUUCGGGUUUUAACGCAUUUUCUUCUAGGAUGAGGGGUUAAGUGUUAAGAUGGUUUUUUUGUGACUUUUGUUGGGGAAAAAGCACAAUCAAACUCCGUGCCACCAGCCGCCAGAAGCCGGAAGGUGCCAGCGGUUAUCAGUAUUACUGGGUAUUACGCGUACGGAGGGGGUGGGUUGCGCUAUAUGUAAUAGCCUCUGACUCCCCCGGCCAACUCCCUUGGGCACUGUCUAAUUAGAGUGUUGUAGAGGGCUGUAGAAUUUCGUGUGUCGCGGUGAAAUGCGUAGAGAUCUGAAGGUAUACCGAUGGCGAACGCAGCCCUCUGCGUUCACUCUGACGCUCAAGCACGAAAGCGUGGAGAGCAAAGAGGAUCAGAUACCCUGAGACUCCGCGCUAAACACUAUGUAUANUAAAAGCUCGAGUGCUGAGAGUUGCCUCUCCCCUAGCACACCAUAUAUACACCGUCUAAGGAGUACUCGGCGCGAGGUUCACCUGAUAUUUAUUCUCAGGUGCCACACGAGGCCGCUGGCACAUGUGGCUAUUCUUUUUUAAAGCAGAUAUGAAAAAGCCGGGGCUCUCACCUCGGAAACCCUUUGAAACUGGCCACUAGAGUCUGUGAGAGAGAGGGAUAUUUUCAGGGUGGCGCGGUAAAGUGUGUAGAUAUGAGAGAACACCGGUGGGGAAGGCGCUCCCCUGUGUGUAUACUCUCACUCUGAUGUAAAAAGCGUGUGGAGCACACACAAUUUGAUAUCCCGUUAUUCCCCCGCGCUAAAAGAGAUGUACAUGAAAGGGGGGGCCCUGAGCCGUGGUUUUCGAAGAUAACGCCAUAAGUACACCCCCCGGGGGAUACGGUCGCAAGGGUAAAACUCAAAAGAAUUUGCGGGGGCCCGCACCAGCGGUGGAGCAUGUGGUUUAAUUUGAUGCAACGCGAAGAACCUUUCCUUCUCUUGACAUCCCGAGAAACUUCCAGAGAUGGAUUUGUUCCUUUGGGAAAUUUGAGACAGGUGGUGCAUGGGUGUUGUCAACUCGUGUUGUGAAAUGUUUGGGUAAAUCCCCCAAAGAGCGCCACCCCUUUCCUUUUUUUCCCGCCCAUUAUGUCGGGAACUCUAGGGAGACUGCCGGUGAUAAACCGGAGGAAGGUGGGGACGACGUCAAGUCAUCAUGGCCCUUACGAGUAGGGCUACACACGUGCUACAAUGGCGCAUACAGAGGGCUGCGAACCUGCGAGGGUAAGCGAAUCCCAUAAAGUGCGUCGUAGUCCGGAUUGGAGUCUGCAACUCGACUCCAUGAAGUCGGAAUCGCUAGUAAUCGCGGAUCAGAAUGACGCGGUGAAUACGUUCCCGGGCCUUGUACACACCGCCUGUCACCACCAUGGGAGUGGGUUGCUCCAGAAGUA
RNAcentral lists this ribosomal RNA (1725 nucleotides) under gamma proteobacterium MB10. RNAcentral's name for it is "bacterial SSU rRNA". It matches the Rfam family "Bacterial small subunit ribosomal RNA", at positions 81 to 1428 of the family's 1533-position model. Lineage: Bacteria; Pseudomonadati; Pseudomonadota; Gammaproteobacteria. The record is from RNAcentral.